This 737-nucleotide ribosomal RNA is filed under the name uncultured archaeon. RNAcentral's name for it is "bacterial SSU rRNA". It matches the Rfam family "Archaeal small subunit ribosomal RNA", at positions 95 to 837 of the family's 1478-position model. The record is from RNAcentral.
UACACGUGGACAACCUACCCUGAAGAGGGGGAUAAUCCCGGGAAACUGGGGAUAAUACCCCAUAGACUAUGGAUGCUGGAAUGCUCUGUAGUUGAAAGGUCCGCCGCUUCAGGAUGGGUCUGCGGCCGAUUAGGUUGUUGUUGGGGUAACGGCCCAACAAGCCUGUAAUCGGUACGGGUUGUGGGAGCAAGAGCCCGGAGAUGGAUUCUGAGACACGAAUCCAGGCCCUACGGGGCGCAGCAGGCGCGAAAACUUUGCAAUGCGAGCAAUCGUGACAAGGGAACUCCGAGUGCCUGUAAAAUCAGGCUGUCCGCCAGUUUAAAUAACUGGCGAAGAAAGGGCCGGGCAAGACCGGUGCCAGCCGCCGCGGUAAUACCGGCGGCUCGAGUGGUGGCCACUAUUACUGGGCUCAAAGCGUUCGUAGCUGGCUUGUUAAGUCUCUGGGGAAAUCUUCCGGCUUAACCGGAAGGCGUCUCAGGGAUACUGGCAGGCUAGGGACCGGAAGAGGUGAGAGGUACUCCAGGGGUAGGAGUGAAAUCCUGUAAUCCUUGGGGGACCACCUGUGGCGAAGGCGUCUCACCAGGACGGCUCCGACAGUGAGGAACGAAAGCUGGGGGAGCAAACCGGAUUAGAUACCCGGGUAGUCCCAGCUGUAAACGAUGCGCGUUAGGUGUAUCGGUGACCACGAGUCACCGAGGUGCCGAAGAGAAAUCGUGAAACGCGCCGCCUGGGAAGUA